CGUGGAGACAGGUGGUGCAUGGCUGUCGUCAGCUCGUGUCGUGAGAUGUUGGGUUAAGUCCCGCAACGAGCGCAACCCUCACCCCUAGUUGCCACCGGGUAAAGCCGAGCACUCGAGGGGAACUGCCAGCGUCAAGCUGGAGGAAGGCGGGGAUGACGUCAAGUCAUCAUGCCCCUUACCCCCUGGGCUACACACGUGCUACAAUGGCCGGUACAAAGGGACGCGAGACUGCAAGGUGGAGCUAAUCCCAAAAAACUGGUCUAAGUUCAGAUUGCAGUCUGCAACUCGACUGCAUGAAGGAGGAAUCGCUAGUAAUCGCGCAUCAGCACGGCGCGGUGAAUACGUUCCCGGGCCUUGUACACACCCCCCGUCACACCACGAAAGCUGUCUGUACUCGAAGUCGCUGAG
This 408-nucleotide ribosomal RNA is filed under the name uncultured Methylomirabilota bacterium. RNAcentral's name for it is "bacterial SSU rRNA". It matches the Rfam family "Bacterial small subunit ribosomal RNA", at positions 1027 to 1434 of the family's 1533-position model. Lineage: Bacteria; Methylomirabilota (SeqCode). The record is from RNAcentral.